Molecule: ribosomal RNA, 497 nt
Filed under: uncultured bacterium
Lineage: Bacteria
Description: partial 16S ribosomal RNA
Rfam family: Bacterial small subunit ribosomal RNA
Source: RNAcentral
GAUGAACGCUGGCGGCGUGCCUAAUACAUGCAAGUCGAGCGAACGGACGAGAAGCUUGCUUCUCUGAUGUUAGCGGCGGACGGGUGAGUAACACGUGGAUAACCUACCUAUAAGACUGGGAUAACUUCGGGAAACCGGAGCUAAUACCGGAUAAUAUUUUGAACCGCAUGGUUCAAAAGUGAAAGACGGUCUUGCUGUCACUUAUAGAUGGAUCCGCGCUGCAUUAGCUAGUUGGUAAGGUAACGGCUUACCAAGGCAACGAUGCAUAGCCGACCUGAGAGGGUGAUCGGCCACACUAGAACUGAGACACGGUCCAGACUACUACGGGAGGCAGCAGUAGGGAAUCUUCCGCAAUGGGCGAAAGCCUGACGGAGCAACGCCGCGUGAGUGAUGAAGGUCUUCGGAUCGUAAAACUCUGUUAUUAGGGAAGAACAUAUGUGUAAGUAACUGUGCACAUCUUGACGGUACCUAAUCAGAAAGCCACGGCUAACUACGUG